This is a ribosomal RNA of Lepidothrix coronata (blue-crowned manakin), 119 nucleotides long. Lineage: Eukaryota; Metazoa; Chordata; Aves; Passeriformes; Pipridae. The record is from Ensembl.
UCCUAUGGCCAUACCACCCUGAGAAUGCCCAAUCCUGUCUGAUCUCUGAAGCUAAGCAGAGUUGAUCCUGGUUAGUACUCGGAUGAGAGACCACCCGGGAAUACUGGGUGCUCUAGGGU